GCAAGUCGAACGAAGGCCCUAGCUUGCUAGGUGUCCUUAGUGGCGCACGGGUGAGUAACACGUGGGAACAUACCUUAUAGUACGGAAUAACUGCGGGAAACUGUAGCUAAUACCGUAUAUUCCAGUAAUGGGAAAGAUUUAUCGCUAUAAGAUUGGCCCGUGCAAGAUUAGCUUGUUGGUGAGGUAAAAGCUCACCAAGGCUUCGAUCUUUAGCUGGUUUGAGAGGAUGAUCAGCCACACUGGGACUGAGACACGGCCCAGACUCCUACGGGAGGCAGCAGUAGGGAAUAUUGGACAAUGGGGGCAACCCUGAUCCAGCAAUGCAGCGUGAGUGACGAAGGCCUUAGGGUUGUAAAACUCUUUCAUCGGUGAGGAUAAUGACAGUAGCCGAAGAAGAAGGACCGGCUAAUUCCGUGCCAGCAGCCGCGGUAAUACGGAAGGUCCUAGCGUUGUUCGGAAUUACUGGGCGUAAAGCGCAUGUAGGCGGAACAGAAAGUUAGAAGUGAAAUCCCUGGGCUCAACCUAGGAAUUGCUUUUAAGACUUCUGUUCUGGAAUUCAGGAGAGGAAAAUGGAAUUUCCAGUGUAGAGGUGAAAUUCGUAGAUAUUGGAAGGAACACCAGUGGCGAAGGCGAUUUUCUGGACUGAUAUUGACGCUGAGAUGCGAAGGCAUGGGUAGCAAACGGGAUUAGAUACCCCGGUAGUCCAUGCAGUAAACGAUGGGUGCUAGUCGUCGGACUUUUGUUCGGUGUCGUAGCUAACGCGUUAAGCACCCCGCCUGGGGAGUACGGUCGCA
This 794-nucleotide ribosomal RNA is filed under the name uncultured marine bacterium. Its description in RNAcentral is "bacterial SSU rRNA". It matches the Rfam family "Bacterial small subunit ribosomal RNA", at positions 57 to 890 of the family's 1533-position model. The record is from RNAcentral.